GAUGAACGCUGGCGGCGUGCCUAAUACAUGCAAGUCGAGCGAACAGACGAGGAGCUUGCUCCUCUGACGUUAGCGGCGGACGGGUGAGUAACACGUGGAUAACCUACCUAUAAGACUGGGAUAACUUCGGGAAACCGGAGCUAAUACCGGAUAAUAUAUUGAACCGCAUGGUUCAAUAGUGAAAGACGGUUUUGCUGUCACUUAUAGAUGGAUCCGCGCCGCAUUAGCUAGUUGGUAAGGUAACGGCUUACCAAGGCGACGAUGCGUAGCCGACCUGAGAGGGUGAUCGGCCACACUGGAACUGAGACGCGGUCCAGACUCCUACGGGAGGCAGCAGUAGGGAAUCUUCCGCAAUGGGCGAAAGCCUGACGGAGCAACGCCGCGUGAGUGAUGAAGGUCCUCGGAUCGUAAAACUCUGUUAUUAGGGAAGAACAAAUGUGUAAGUAACUAUGCACGUCUUGACGGUACCUAAUCAGAAAGCCACGGCUAACUACGUG
This 497-nucleotide ribosomal RNA is filed under the name uncultured bacterium. Its description in RNAcentral is "partial 16S ribosomal RNA". It matches the Rfam family "Bacterial small subunit ribosomal RNA", at positions 28 to 507 of the family's 1533-position model. The record is from RNAcentral.